AAUGAACGUUGGCGGCGUGGAUUAGGCAUGCAAGUCGAGCGAGAACCGGAGCAAUCCGGGGAAAGCGGCAAACGGGGUAGUAAUGCAUCGGUACGUGCCCUCAGGUCGGGGAUAGCCAGGGGAAACCCUGAUUAAUACCCGAUAAUCUCGAGAGAGCAAAGGUUUACUGCCGGAGGAGCGGCCGAUGUGGCAUCAGGUAGUUGGCGGGGUAACGGCCCACCAAGCCUUAGACGCCUAGGGGGCGUGAGAGCGCGACCCCCACCACUGGGACUGAGAUACUGCCCAGACACCUACGGGUGGCUGCAGUCGAGAAUCUUCCGCAAUGGGCGAAAGCCUGACGGAGCGACGCCGCGUGCGGGAUGAAGGCCCUUGGGUUGUAAACCGCUGUCAGGGGGGAUGAAAGCGCAAGCUUGACAGAGCCCCAGAGGAAGCACGGGCUAAGUUCGUGCCAGCAGCCGCGGUAAGACGAACUGUGCGAACGUUAUUCGGAAUCACUGGGCUUACAGGGUGC
This 511-nucleotide ribosomal RNA is filed under the name uncultured bacterium. RNAcentral's name for it is "bacterial SSU rRNA". It matches the Rfam family "Bacterial small subunit ribosomal RNA", at positions 28 to 570 of the family's 1533-position model. The record is from RNAcentral.